RNAcentral lists this ribosomal RNA (253 nucleotides) under uncultured bacterium. RNAcentral describes it as "partial 16S ribosomal RNA". It matches the Rfam family "Bacterial small subunit ribosomal RNA", at positions 524 to 776 of the family's 1533-position model. The record is from RNAcentral.
GACGGAGGGUGCAAGCGUUGUUCGGAAUCACUGGGCGUAUAGCGCGUGUAGGCGGUUUGAUAAGUCGAAUGUGAAAGCCCGAGGCUCAACCUCGGAAGUGCAUUCGAAACUGUCAGGCUUGAGUACGGGAGAGGGAAGUGGAAUUCCUGGUGUAGAGGUGAAAUUCGUAGAUAUCAGGAGGAACACCGGUGGCGAAGGCGGCUUCCUGGACCGAUACUGACGCUGAGACGCGAAAGCGUGGGGAGCAAACCGG